CUUCUCAAAUUACUAUAAUUCUCUUCUUAAAAGAGAUCUGAUCUGUGUCAAGAGAAAAGAUAUUUGUGAUGUGCUAAACAAACCUGUGGAGGUGAAUCAGCAGCAUGACUGACUUAGCCAUUGUUGCCAGUCACCUCCAGACAAGU
RNAcentral lists this small nucleolar RNA (146 nucleotides) under Myotis lucifugus (little brown bat). The record is from RNAcentral. Lineage: Eukaryota; Metazoa; Chordata; Mammalia; Chiroptera; Vespertilionidae.